This 18-nucleotide small nuclear RNA is filed under the name Arabidopsis thaliana (thale cress). Its description in RNAcentral is "snRNA_08677". Lineage: Eukaryota; Viridiplantae; Streptophyta; Magnoliopsida; Brassicales; Brassicaceae. The record is from RNAcentral.
CUGGAGAAGCGUCCUCAG